CAGUCUGGAGACACCCGCGCCGCCGCGGGGGCCGAAGGGGCAAGACAUGUUCGAGACUCUCAGGCAAAAGGACAGAUGGA
RNAcentral lists this non-coding RNA (80 nucleotides) under pig gut metagenome. Its description in RNAcentral is "Glycine riboswitch". It matches the Rfam family "Glycine riboswitch aptamer", at positions 7 to 88 of the family's 94-position model. Rfam says of the family: This family represents the bacterial glycine riboswitch. Glycine riboswitches usually consist of two metabolite-binding aptamers domains with similar structures in tandem. The record is from RNAcentral.